GAAGGCUCUUGGGUCGUAAACCUCUUUUCUCAAGGAAGAAGAAAGUGACGGUACUUGAGGAAUAAGCAUCGGCUAACUCCGUGCCAGCAGCCGCGGUAAUACGGAGGAUGCAAGCGUUAUCCGGAAUGAUUGGGCGUAAAGGGUCUGCAGGUGGAACUGAAAGUCUGCUGUUAAAGAGUUUGGCUUAACCAAAUAAAAGCGGUGGAAACUACAGAACUAGAGUGCGGUAGGGGCAAAAGGAAUUCCUGGUGUAGCGGUGAAAUGCGUAGAUAUCAGGAAGAACACCGGUGGCGAAAGCGUUUUGCUAGACCGUAACUGACACUGAGGGACGAAAGCUAGGGGAGCGAAUGGGAUUAGAUACCCCAGUAGUCCUAGCCGUAAACGAUGGAUACUAGGCGUGGCUUGUAUCGACCCGAGCCGUGCCGGAGCUAACGCGUUAAGUAUCCCGCCUGGGGAGUACGCACGCAAGUGUGAAACUCAAAGGAAUUGACGGGGGCCCGCACAAGCGGUGGAGUAUGUGGUUUAAUUCGAUGCAACGCGAAGAACCUUACCAAGACUUGACAUCCUGCGAAUCCCGGUGAAAGCUGGGAGUGCCUUAGGGAGCGCAGAGACAGGUGGUGCAUGGCUGUCGUCAGCUCGUGUCGUGAGAUGUUGGGUUAAGUCCCGCAACGAGCGCAACCCUCGUUUUUAGUUGCCAGCAUUAAGUUGGGCACUCUAGAGAGACUGCCGGUGACAAACCGGAGGAAGGUGGGGAUGACGUCAAGUCAGCAUGCCCCUUACGUCUUGGGCUACACACGUACUACAAUGCUACGGACAGAGGGCAGCGAGCCAGGGAUGGCAAGCGAAUCCAGAAACCGUAGCUCAGUUCAGAUCGAAGGCUGCAACUCGCCUUCGUGAAGGAGGAAUCGCUA
RNAcentral lists this ribosomal RNA (911 nucleotides) under Cylindrospermopsis raciborskii UFMG232. Its description in RNAcentral is "bacterial SSU rRNA". It matches the Rfam family "Bacterial small subunit ribosomal RNA", at positions 410 to 1337 of the family's 1533-position model. The record is from RNAcentral. Lineage: Bacteria; Bacillati; Cyanobacteriota; Cyanophyceae; Nostocales; Aphanizomenonaceae.